RNAcentral lists this ribosomal RNA (425 nucleotides) under uncultured bacterium. Its description in RNAcentral is "bacterial SSU rRNA". It matches the Rfam family "Bacterial small subunit ribosomal RNA", at positions 356 to 773 of the family's 1533-position model. The record is from RNAcentral.
GGGGAAUAUUGGACAAUGGGGGCAACCCUGAUCCAGCCAUGCCGCGUGUGUGAAGAAGGCCUUCGGGUUGUAAAGCACUUUAAGCGGGGAGGAAGGCCUGAUGGCUAAUAUCCAUCGGGAUUGACGUUACCCGCAGAAUAAGCACCGGCAAACUUCGUGCCAGCAGCCGCGGUAAUACGAAGGGUGCGAGCGUUAAUCGGAAUUACUGGGCGUAAAGCGCGCGUAGGUGGUUAAGUAAGCGAUCUGUGAAAGCCCCGGGCUUAACCUGGGAACUGCAGGUCGAACUGCUUGGCUAGAGUAUGGUAGAGGGGUGUGGAAUUUCCUGUGUAGCGGUGAAAUGCGUAGAUAUAGGAAGGAACAUCAGUGGCGAAGGCGACACCCUGGACCGAUACUGACGCUGAGGCACGAAAGCGUGGGGAUCAAAC